Molecule: ribosomal RNA, 775 nt
Filed under: uncultured Neocallimastigales
Lineage: Eukaryota; Fungi; Neocallimastigomycota; Neocallimastigomycetes; Neocallimastigales
Description: partial large subunit ribosomal RNA
Rfam family: Eukaryotic large subunit ribosomal RNA
Source: RNAcentral
GUACACGCUGUGACUAGCAUAUCAAUAAGCGGAGGAAAAGAAACUAACAAGGAUUCCCCUAGUAACGGCGAGUGAAGCGGGAAGAGCUCAAAUUUGAAAUCUUAAAGGGUUUCCCUUUACGAAUUGUAGUUUAAAGAAGUGUUUUCCUGUUGAGGUUUUGGUAAAAGUUCUUUGGAAUAGGACAUCAUAGAGGGUGAGAAUCCCGUAUUUGACCUUUACUUUCAACUUUGUGAUACACUUUCAAAGAGUCGGAUUGUUUGGGAAUGCAGUCCAAAAUGGGUGGUAAAUUUCAUCUAAAGCUAAAUAUUGGCGAGAGACCGAUAGCGAACAAGUACCGUGAGGGAAAGAUGAAAAGAACUUUGAAAAGAGAGUUAAACAGUACGUGAAAUUGUCAAAAGGGAAGCGUUUGACACCAGUGUUGUUUUUCUGAAAAUCAAUUAAAGAACUGUUUAUGCUAAGUUGUUUAGACUUUAUCAGCUAUCUGUUUAGUUUUGAGCUUUUCUUUAAUGCACUUUUCAGUUAACAAGUCAACAUCAAUUUCUUUUGCUGUAAAAAAGCUUGAGGAAGGUGGCUUGAGAUUCGUCUUAAGUGUUUAUAGCCUCUUGCCUAUGCAGUCGGAGAGAUUGAGGUUUGCAGCGUAGAUCCUUCGGGGCUAAAUGCAUUUGUGCUAAGUUAUAGCAUUUUAUAGACAACUUGUUGACUAUGAUUUGUCUUGUAGCUUACUCGCUUAUGUUAUUUUACCUACGCUUAGGAUGUUGACUGAUAUGUAGUCGUA